AGAGUUUGAUCCUGGCUCAGAGCGAACGCUGGCGGCAGGCCUAACACAUGCAAGUCGAGCGCCCCGCAAGGGGAGCGGCAGACGGGAGAGUAACACGUGGGAACGUACCCUUCAGUUCGGAACAACCCAGGGAAACUUGGGCUAAUACCGAAUACGUCCGUAAGGAGAAAGAUUUAUCGCUGAAGGAUCGGCCCGCGUCUGAUUAGCUUGUUGGUGAGGUAACGGCUCACCAAGGCGACGAUCAGUAGCUGGUCUGAGAGGAUGAUCAGCCUCACUGGGACUGAGACACGGCCCAGACUCCUACGGGAGGCAGCAGUGGGGAAUAUUGGACAAUGGGCGCAAGCCUGAUCCAGCCAUGCCGCGUGGGUGAUGAAGGCCCUAGGGUUGUAAAGCCCUU
Molecule: ribosomal RNA, 397 nt
Filed under: uncultured bacterium
Lineage: Bacteria
Description: bacterial SSU rRNA
Rfam family: Bacterial small subunit ribosomal RNA
Source: RNAcentral